RNAcentral lists this ribosomal RNA (471 nucleotides) under Hepatozoon felis. Its description in RNAcentral is "bacterial SSU rRNA". It matches the Rfam family "Eukaryotic small subunit ribosomal RNA", at positions 432 to 899 of the family's 1831-position model. The record is from RNAcentral. Lineage: Eukaryota; Apicomplexa; Hepatozoidae.
GCAUGCCAUUCCCAAUUCUAACAGCUUCAGAAAGGAAUGGACAAGAAUAACAAUACAGGCAGUUAAAAGCUUUGUAAUUGGAACGUAGAAAUUUAAACACUUUUUAAAGUAUCAAUUGGAGGGCAAGUCUGGUGCCAGCAGCCGCGGUAAUUCCAGCUCCAAUAGCGUAUAUUAAAAUUGUUGCAGUUAAAAAGCUCGUAGUUGAAUUUCUGCUAAAAAUAACCGGUCUGCUUUUAAUAAAGGUGGUAUCUUGGUGUGUUUUUAGCAAUAAUGUCCUUUGAAAUGUUUUUUACUUCAUUGUAAUAAAUUAUAUUUAGGAUUUUUACUUUGAGAAAAUUAGAGUGUUUCUAGCAGGCUAAUGCUUUGAAUACUGCAGCAUGGAAUAAUAAAAUAGGAUUUUGGUUCUACAUUAUUGGUUUAAAAAGCUAAAUUAAUGAUUGAUAGGGACAGUUGGGCAAUUUUUGUGUAUAU